Pyrus x bretschneideri (Chinese white pear) is the source of this 2266-nucleotide long non-coding RNA. RefSeq lists it as uncharacterized. NCBI's taxonomy places the organism in Eukaryota, Viridiplantae, Streptophyta, Magnoliopsida, Rosales, Rosaceae. The record is from RefSeq and is a predicted model, not a curated record. The transcript has 3 exons.
AAAAAAAAAAAACUUUGAGCCUUUGAGAAUUGUAUCAUCGAAGCCUGGUCGGUCUCAAUUAUCUAGGCUACGGUGCAUGAACAAAAAACCUAAUUAAGCCACACAAAAAAUGUUAACUGAAAUGAUAUUAUUGAGUUCAUGUCCUUCGUGUGUGCCAGUAUGCGAUAUGUGUGUGUGUGUGUGUAUUCACAAUCACUAUCGUCGUCAAGGACGUACGUUGGAAUGAAUGAAGGUGGAUGUGAACAUUGCAAGAAACUCUCAAUUAAAAGGCACAAAAUGACUGAAUGAUUGAAUAAGUAAGAAGCUCUCAAUUAGGAGUCAUUAAGAUUCCUUUGAAUCGUUAUUAUAUAUAUAAAACAAGUAGACUCAUUUGAAUCGUUAUUAUAUAUAAAACAAGUGUAAUCAUAAACCAAGUCUCGUGAAUGCAUACUUUUGUAGGCUUAAAAAAUUGAAAAGGCGAGACACUUUUUGAGUUUCAUUAACAAUUUAAUUUUGUAAUUCGAAUAAUACUGUCUUGCUAUAUAUUUUGUACAUGCUAUGUUCCAGGAGUAUCACACAAUAAAACAUAUUAUGUCUAAUAAACAUCCAAAAUUAAAAAGAAUUUGAGAUCAACUUAGAUAACAAACAAUAUAUUAAGGGUAGUGUUAUCACACUUAUUUUUACUCCUCACAUACCCCUCUCAAUUUUCGAUAUCAAAUUGAAUGAAUUAAAGAAGAUUAAUGACAAAAUUGAUAAGGGUGUUUGGGAGGUAAAAAUAGGCGUGCGAAUAACACUAUCCUAUAUUAAACAGUCUAAUAAGAGCACUGUUUAUAUAUAAAACAAUAAAUUUAUUGUUAUUCUUGGCCAAGAAUAGUAAACCAUGUAACUUAAUGGCAUAUUUACUUACAAGAAAUGAAAUUCGAAAGAAUGAGUAUCAUUCUCAGUCAUGUAUUCAGUAGUUAACAACCAGAUGAAUGAAGAAAUAGGUGGCCCCAUAAGUUUUGGGUGUGAUAGAUAUUAAAAAUGAAGGUAUUCCAUUAAUAUAGGGAAUUGCUUAUCUUUCCUUCUCAUACUAAUUUCUUUUUAUAUAAAAAAACAAAAAAAAAAAAAAAAAAAAAAAAAAAAACAUAAGUAAACACGCUACUAUCAGAAAUUACUAUUUACCCGAUAAAAGGUAAUUCGUCGAGCAAAUAUAGCUCACACCAUUAUCGAGCGAGCACGAAAGUCAACAGUGACUUACGAUAUGGGUGCCUUCAUCCGUACGAAAUGCCCCAUGGUCGCCCUUCACGGAAGAUGCUUACCCUUCCCUAGGUGCAUUAGGUGCAUAGCAGAUGAUGAGAUAGAUUUCAGUGUGUGGAGUUUCGUUAAUUAAUUAGUUCUUUUACUUUUACUUAUUUAAUGUACUUUUUAAUCUAAUACACUUGUUUCUUUUGUCUAUUUCGGACCAACUUCUCCAUCAACAUGAAGCACUUGGAUACAAAUGAGUACAUACAUUAGGUGUGGGUUGAGCGGUGUAAGUAGUGGAAGUUAUUACAAGACUUGUGCAUCUCCAGAUGGACUCUUACAAAUCGACCCCCAUAAUCUAAGGAGAGGAUUGGGCAGUGGGAGUGGUUGUGCAGUCAUUUUUAGAGCCCGACAUUUUUGCAAAUAAGGCUAAUCGGGAAGCAAAGCUGCACCAUAAUCAAUCUGGUUCUUAGCCGUUCAUUUUUCAGGUUGAGGAACAUCGUGAUAAGAGUUUGCUUUUCCCGGAAGUCGAGGCUUGGGAGAUACGCAUGCCAAAUAUGGAAACAACAUUCAUCUUCUAUGUUGCAGAAGAAGGACGAGUAUAUCACCCAACAAUAACCGGACACGUCAAUGGAGGAGUUGACACCUGAUCUAGAGCUAUCUCUACAAUUGCAAAUGGACGGGUUGGCCGACUAAAAGCAAAGAACUUCCCAGCCUAGGAGCGCGUCGGAUUCGAGACCUCGGUGAUCUUCUUCAUCUAGCUGUUUGACUAUAAGCGGGACGUCUUCCAGACUAUAGCAGUUGGAGAUGGAGUUAGUGGUCCUACGCCAGCGAGACGAAGAAGUUAGAGAAGAUGCACGCUAGCGAGAGGAGGGUAUUAUGCGGUACAUUGUUGGGAUAGACCAAUCAAUGUCAGCCUGAUCUUCUGAACGUUCAGCGACCAUCCAACCAGCCACCUCAGCAGUCACCUAGUAGUUGUACUAAGUUUAGUAUUUUUACGUACAAUUGUUAUAAAUAUUUUAUUUUAAUAUAAUUAAAUAAAAUUCUUUAAUAUUGUGAUUUA